RNAcentral lists this ribosomal RNA (253 nucleotides) under uncultured bacterium. Its description in RNAcentral is "partial 16S ribosomal RNA". It matches the Rfam family "Bacterial small subunit ribosomal RNA", at positions 524 to 776 of the family's 1533-position model. The record is from RNAcentral.
UACGAAGGGGGCUAGCGUUGCUCGGAAUUACUGGGCGUAAAGGGCUCGUAGGCGGCCAACUAAGUCGGAUGUGAAAUCCCCAGGCUCAACCUGGGAACUGCAUCCGAUACUGGAUGGCUUGAAUUCGGGAGAGGGAUGCAGAAUUCCAGGUGUAGCGGUGAAAUGCGUAGAUAUCUGGAGGAAUACCGGUGGCGAAGGCGGCAUCCUGGACCGACAUUGACGCUGAGGAGCGAAAGCCAGGGGAGCAAACGGG